AGGAGCGAGAGCAGCCAUCAAGACAAGCAACACGUGAAACGGAAGAAAAACUAAAAGUUGAUCAAAGUCGACAAAAAACUUGCUGGAUAACUUCACCGCGAUCCUGUGAGAGCAAGGCGAGAAGAUCCUGUCAUCAAUAGUCACGGAGAAAAAAAUGCAUUGGUCAGGUUUUUUGUGGAUCCUGAGAGUUCCCGACCCACCUGGAGUUGGAGCUUAGGGACUAUUGGAUACUUGAUGGCGAGCUACGGCCCAAUGGAGAAGAACUAGAGACUCAAUAGCAUGCAGAAGAUUGGAACCCUGAACUCCAGAAACUUUGCUUCCACACACCGUCAACUCGUUCAACAGUGCGGUAGGACAAACAUUUGCCACUUUCCCAGUGGACUGAGCAGUAUUAUCUGCUGCAAGGAUUAAGUGAUUGAGCUGAAGGGGUUAAAUUGAACAUUGAAUCUAAAGACUAUUGAUACAGUUGUGAAUUAUUUUAUUUUUCAUUUUUAUACUUACCCGGGUAAGAAUUGUAUUGUGUUACUGUAUACCGUAUAACUGUUUUCUAUUCAUCCUUUCCUAUUUUUUAUUAAAUGGAAGAGUAAUUCUUUCUCAAAGAAGA
Seriola aureovittata is the source of this 604-nucleotide long non-coding RNA. RefSeq lists it as uncharacterized. Lineage: Eukaryota; Metazoa; Chordata; Actinopteri; Carangiformes; Carangidae. The transcript is spliced from 2 exons. The record is from RefSeq and is a predicted model, not a curated record.